Molecule: ribosomal RNA, 254 nt
Filed under: uncultured bacterium
Lineage: Bacteria
Description: partial 16S ribosomal RNA
Rfam family: Bacterial small subunit ribosomal RNA
Source: RNAcentral
UACGUAGGGGGCGAGCGUUUGUCCGGAGUUACUGGGCGUAAAGCGCACGCAGGCGGUCUGCUAAGUUUGGAGUGACAGUUGGUGGCUUAACUGCCAAAGUGCUUCGAAAACUGACAGACUUGAGGGCUUCAGAGGGACACGGAAUUCCGGGUGGAGUGGUGAAAUGCGUAGAGAUCCGGAGGAACACCGGUGGCGAAGGCGGCCUGCUGGGAUCGAGCUGACGCUGAGGCGCGACAGCGUGGGGAGCAAACAGG